Arthrobacter sp. is the source of this 117-nucleotide regulatory RNA element. It matches the Rfam family "SAM (S-adenosyl methionine) riboswitch aptamer". From Rfam's summary of the family: SAM-IV is a mRNA element that regulates gene expression via direct sensing of S-adenosylmethionine (SAM or AdoMet). SAM-IV riboswitches share conserved nucleotide positions with the previously described SAM-I riboswitches sequence analysis and molecular recognition experiments suggest that SAM-I and SAM-IV riboswitches share similar ligand binding sites, but have different scaffolds. Lineage: Bacteria; Bacillati; Actinomycetota; Actinomycetes; Micrococcales; Micrococcaceae. The record is from Rfam.
GGUCAUGAGUGUCAGCGCACAGCCCCGGCUUGCUGACCGGCAACCCUCCUUCCGCGGUGGGGUGCCCCGGGUGAGGACCUGGCAUCGAACCGACCGGUUCCGGUGCAAGCGCGGGCC